Molecule: ribosomal RNA, 406 nt
Filed under: uncultured bacterium
Lineage: Bacteria
Description: partial 16S ribosomal RNA
Rfam family: Bacterial small subunit ribosomal RNA
Source: RNAcentral
AUUGAACGCUGGCGGCAGGCCUAACACAUGCAAGUCGAGCGCGCGGCGGACGGGUGAGGAAAGUCUGGGAAACUGCCUGAUGGAGGGGGAUAAAUACUGUAAACGGUAGCUAAUAUCGCAUAUCCCAAGAACUGUCCAGAUGGGAUUAGCUAGUUGGGGGGGGAAUAGCUCACCUAGGCGACGAUCCCUAGCGGGUCUGAGAGGAUGACCAGCCACACUGGAACUGAGACACGGUCCAGACUCCUACGGGAGGCAGCAGUGGGGAAUAUUGCACAAUGGGCGCAAGCCUGAUGCAGCCAUGCCGCGUGUGUGAAGAAGGCCUUCGGGUUGUAAAGCACUUUCAGCGGGGAGGCGUUACCCGCAGAAGAAGCACCGGCUAACUCCGUGCCAGCCGCCGAGGUAAUUC